This 420-nucleotide ribosomal RNA is filed under the name uncultured bacterium. Its description in RNAcentral is "bacterial SSU rRNA". It matches the Rfam family "Bacterial small subunit ribosomal RNA", at positions 361 to 773 of the family's 1533-position model. The record is from RNAcentral.
AUAUUGCACAAUGGGCGCAAGCCUGAUGCAGCCAUGCCGCGUGUAUGAAGAAGGCCUUCGGGUUGUAAAGAACUUUCAGCUGUGAGGAAGGCGAUAAAGUUAAUAACCUUGUCGAGUGACGUUACCCGCAGAAGAAGCACCGGCUAACUCCGUGCCAGCAGCCGCGGUAAUACGGAGGGUGCAAGCGUUAAUCGGAAUUACUGGGCGUAAAGCGCGCGCAGGCGGUCUGUCAAGUCGGAUGUGAAAUCCCCGGGCUCAACCUGGGAACUGCAUUCGAAACUGGCAGGCUAGAGUCUUGUAGAGGGGGGUAGAAUUCCAGGUGUAGCGGUGAAAUGCGUAGGGAUCUGGAGGAAUACCGGUGGCGAAGGCGGCCCCCUGGACAAAGACUGACGCUCAGGUGCGAAAGCGUGGGGAGCAAAC